This is a non-coding RNA of Pelobates cultripes (western spadefoot toad), 512 nucleotides long. The record is from the annotation of a GenBank genome assembly. Lineage: Eukaryota; Metazoa; Chordata; Amphibia; Anura; Pelobatidae.
AUACAAAUGACUUGACAAAAAUCAAUUAGCAGUAAUAUAGCUCCUUGCAGAAAGUAAUAAAGCUAAGCAGGCUUUAAAAGGAUCAUCAUGCCCUUGAAUACAUUAUGGUGGCAGUAUGCAAGAGGCAACAUUGGUAAAGGUAUAUCUUUUUUGUAUAAAAAAAAUAGAAACAAAAACACUACCUGUGAUAUAGCUCAUCUAUUGUCUGACCUAUAGGCAAAGCCAUUUAAAUAAAGUCGUUCUAGUUCUGUCCUCUUUCAUGCAAUUCACAUGGCAGUAUGUCUGCCUUGAAGGCAUAUACACAGUUUCAUUUGAGCCAGCAGUUGGUCUGUCUUUUAAGAAUACUUGCAACAUUGGUAAUUAGUAUCUAGGAGACGUGCCCAGAAUGAAGUUAACACAGGAUCUGAGAUAGGUUGGCACAGGAAACUUUAGUAGACAAUCUUUGAUACAAAGUAGUACUAUUUGUUGUAUACAACUGGUUUAAUUCUAGCUUUCCAGCCUUUUUUUAAAAG